This 503-nucleotide ribosomal RNA is filed under the name uncultured bacterium. RNAcentral's name for it is "partial 16S ribosomal RNA". It matches the Rfam family "Bacterial small subunit ribosomal RNA", at positions 28 to 523 of the family's 1533-position model. The record is from RNAcentral.
GAUGAACGCUAGCGACAGGCUUAACACAUGCAAGUCGAGGGGCAGCGGGGUGUGGCAACACACUGCCGGCGACCGGCGCACGGGUGAGUAACGCGUAUGCAGCUUGCCUAUCAGAGGGGGAUAACCCGGCGAAAGUCGGACUAAUACCGCAUAAAACAGGGGUCCCGCAUGGGGAUAUUGGUUAAAGAUUCAUCGCUGAUAGAUAGGCAUGCGUUCCAUUAGGCAGUUGGCGGGGUAACGGACCACCAAACCGACGAUGGAUAGGGGUUCUGAGAGGAAGGUCCCCCACAUUGGUACUGAGACACGGACCAAACUCCUACGGGAGGCAGCAGUGAGGAAUAUUGGUCAAUGGCCGGGAGGCUGAACCAGCCAAGUCGCGUGAAGGAUGAAGGUCCUAUGGAUUGUAAACUUCUUUUGUGCGGGAAUAAAGUCGGGGAUGCGUCCCCGUUUGCAUGUACCGUACGAAUAAGCAUCGGCUAACUCCGUGCCAGCAGCCGCAGUAA